Molecule: ribosomal RNA, 516 nt
Filed under: uncultured bacterium
Lineage: Bacteria
Description: bacterial SSU rRNA
Rfam family: Bacterial small subunit ribosomal RNA
Source: RNAcentral
ACGAACGCUGGCGGCGUGCCUAAUACAUGCAAGUCGAACGGUCUUUUCUAUGGAAGCUUGCUUCCACUGAGAAGAUAGUGGCGAACGGGUGAGUAACACGUGGGUAACCUGCCAUAAGAGGGGGAUAACAUCCGGAAACGGGUGCUAAUACCGCAUAGUUUUCUUGAUCGCAUGAUUGAGAAAGGAAAGACGGCCUUUGUGCUGUCGCUUAUGGAUGGACCCGCGGCGUAUUAGUUAGUUGGUGAGGUAACGGCUCACCAAGACGAUGAUACGUAGCCGACCUGAGAGGGUGAUCGGCCACAUUGGGACUGAGACACGGCCCAAACUCCUACGGGAGGCAGCAGUAGGGAAUCUUCCGCAAUGGACGAAAGUCUGACGGAGCAACGCCGCGUGAGUGAAGAAAGGUUUUCGGGUCGUAAAACUCUGUUGCCAGAGAAGAACAAGUUGGAGAGUAACUGCUCCAGCCUUGACGGUAUCUGACCAGAAAGCCACGGCUAACUACGUGCCAGCCGCAGC